AGGGAAACAGCUCAGUGGUAGGGCACAUGCUUAGCAUGCACGAGGUCCUGGGUUUGAUCCCUAGUACCUCUG
RNAcentral lists this transfer RNA (72 nucleotides) under Camelus bactrianus (Bactrian camel). It matches the Rfam family "tRNA". Rfam says of the family: Transfer RNA (tRNA) molecules are approximately 80 nucleotides in length. Their secondary structure includes four short double-helical elements and three loops (D, anti-codon, and T loops). RNAcentral also lists the same sequence under 1 other name. Lineage: Eukaryota; Metazoa; Chordata; Mammalia; Artiodactyla; Camelidae. The record is from Rfam by way of RNAcentral.